GUUAGGAAUAUUCGUCAAUGGGGGAAACCCUGAACGAGCAAUGCCGCGUGAGUGAUGACGGUCUUUAUGAUUGUAAAACUCUGUUGUAUGGGAAGAACACUAGAUAUAGGAAAUGAUAUCUAGCUGACGGUACCAUGCCAGAAAGCCCCGGCUAACUACGUGCCAGCAGCCGCGGUAAUACGUAGGGGGCGAGCGUUAUCCGGAUUUAUUGGGCGUAAAGCGUGUGUAGGCGGUUUAUUAAGUAUAAGAUUAAAGCCUGGGGCUUAACUCCAGUUCGUCUUAUAAACUGGUAGACUUGAGUGUGGUAGAGGCAAAUGGAAUUUCUAGUGUAGCGGUAAAAUGCGUAGAUAUUAGAAGGAACACCGGUGGCGAAGGCGAUUUGCUGGGCCAUUACUGACGCUGAGACACGAAAGCGUGGGGAGCGAAUAGGAUUAGAUACCCUAGUAGUCC
Molecule: ribosomal RNA, 450 nt
Filed under: uncultured bacterium
Lineage: Bacteria
Description: partial 16S ribosomal RNA
Rfam family: Bacterial small subunit ribosomal RNA
Source: RNAcentral